CGAGUUGUUUACCUGGUAACUAACUUACCGCUCUCCGUCAAAGUCGUGUAAACUCACCGAGUUGUUUACCUGGUAACUAACUUACCGCUCUCCGUCAAAGUCGUGUAAACUCACCGAGUUGUUUACCUGGUAACUAACUUACCGCUCUCCGUCAAACGUAAGCUGGUGUAGGUGAUGGUGCUGGACAGGACUUCAUGGCUCACAGCUCAUUCCACUCCAGGUAACCCCUGGAGUGAGAUACUUUUUUAGACCUCAGUAGCCAUCUGGAAGGAACGCGUCCAACGUUACCUUGAGAAGGAGAUGUUCAGUUCCGGACGGAGAAAACUUCAGAGACACUGUGGUGCCAUCUGGUCACUUUCAAGAGGCAGUUGUUGAAGAUUUCAGCUCUGGGCUAUGAUGGAGAUGGUCACAUGUUAUAGGCUGUAGCACAAAUGUGCUUUUGAACACUCAAAAACAUGUCCACAGUGAAAAUCUAUCUUGUCUUAUUGUCAACUUUAUAGUAAGGUAACACUUUACAAAGGGUUUGUAAAAGCUAUAUACAUUAAGGGUUAUUUAAUUAUUUGUACAGCAAAUCCUUUAUUAUCCAAGCUGGUUUACAUUGUUUUGUUGUGUCAUUGUUUUCAUCACAAAAAAAACGACUUAUCUUUACUUGCUACAUAAUGGGCAAUAUUAGCGAGUACUAUGCUUGGCAAUAUGUUCCAAGCACAACACUGACAUGUUAUGAUCACAGUCAGGACCUUUAUGGUUCAGGUCUAAAUGUAACCAAAUGUUAUGCAAAUGAAAAGCAAGUCACAUUUUAUUUCUCAGAGCGUAACUUUCUGUGUAAACUGUCCAUGUUAAGAACCAGGACAUGGGUGGUGAGUGACGCGACGUGACCAAGGGUCUCUGCCGGCACAAUGGCGGUUAUAUAUGAUAUUCUUUCACCUUAUACAAUAUUGCUGCUCAAACCAAAACUGAUCAUGACGAGGACACUGUAGUGCGUAUGUGUUACUGUUCACGUCAAACUCUGAAACAGGUGACCUUAACGGAUUUGAAGUGUUUGCAUUCUGCUUUAGCCGAGAGUGUGAUCUCUCAGGUGCUCUUGGAAGUUUGCCCUUGAAAGAACCGAAGAAUGUAGAAUAGAAGCACACAUUUCUAUAAGGCAGCCAUUCAUUUCUCUAAGAUCCUAUCAUACAGCGGGGUUGAACUUCUGUUCAGUUGCCUUACUUCACUGCUGAUAGGACAUUGAAGGAUUUAGAAUUUCCACUAUAACAAAAUUCACUGGAAAAAUAAACCCUACGAGCAAUGGGGAUGACGUGUCUCAUCUAUUGUACAAGACCGUGGAACACAAACAGGACGUCAGCAUGUCUUUUAGAGUACAUGCAUUUCGUGGGUUGGUGCACACUUUAUCCAACACGGACAAUGCAAAAAACAUGUCAGCCCAGCUAGUUGAGAGACAAUGGACUGGCUCAUGUGAAUUGGAGGCAAAAUUAUAUAUUCUCAGUAAAUAAAUAUUUUAACGGUUCCACAUUUGGAAAUUCAAGUGCCAUUUUGUAUAUACCAUAUGCAGCUUUUUCAUGCAUUGUAUACCUACAUUGUACUCUGGAAAUGAAUAGCUUACAGAUCUUUCCUUUGCAAAGACUGAUUAUACCUUUAUACAUUCCCAAUUAAAUCAUACUACGCCAUUUACACUGGGCUACGCUCAAAAGUAGUUUAUGUUACAGUUA
Long non-coding RNA from Esox lucius (northern pike), 1706 nucleotides. The record is from Ensembl. NCBI's taxonomy places the organism in Eukaryota, Metazoa, Chordata, Actinopteri, Esociformes, Esocidae.